ACGUAGGGAGCUAGCGUUAUCCGGAUUUACUGGGUGUAAAGGGCGCGUAGGCGGGAGAGCAAGUCAGAUGUGAAAUACCGGGGCUCAACCCCGGGGCUGCAUUUGAAACUGUUUUUCUUGAGUGAUGGAGAGGCAAGUGGAAUUCCUAGUGUAGCGGUGGAAUGCGUAGAUAUUAGGAGGAACACCAGUGGCGAAGGCGACUUGCUGGACAUUAACUGACGCUGAUGCGCGAAAGCGUGGAGAGCAAACAG
This 251-nucleotide ribosomal RNA is filed under the name uncultured prokaryote. Its description in RNAcentral is "partial 16S rRNA". It matches the Rfam family "Bacterial small subunit ribosomal RNA", at positions 525 to 775 of the family's 1533-position model. The record is from RNAcentral.